This 401-nucleotide ribosomal RNA is filed under the name uncultured bacterium. RNAcentral's name for it is "bacterial SSU rRNA". It matches the Rfam family "Bacterial small subunit ribosomal RNA", at positions 356 to 773 of the family's 1533-position model. The record is from RNAcentral.
GGGGAAUAUUGCGCAAUGGGGGGAACCCUGACGCGGCAACGCCGCGUGAGUGAAGAAGGCCUUCGGGUCGUAAAGCUCUGUCUUCAGGGACGAAAAAAGACGGUACCUGAGGAGGAAGCCACGGCUAACUACGUGCCAGCAGCCGCGGUAAUACGUAGGUGGCGAGCGUUGUCCGGAAUUACUGGGCGUAAAGGGUGCGUAGGCGGCGUUCCAAGUCAGAUGUGAAAACCCAAGGCUUAACCAUGGGAUUGCAUUUGAAACUGGGAUGCUGGAGUGCAGGAGAGGGAAGCGGAAUUCCUAGUGUAGCGGUGAAAUGCGUAGAUAUUAGGAAGAACACCAGUGGCGAAGGCGGCUUCCUGGACUGUAACUGACGCUGAGGCACGAAAGCGUGGGGAGCAAAC